UACGUAGGAGGCAAACGUUAUUCGGAUUUACUGGGCGUAAAGGGAGCGUAGGCGGUUCCUUAAGUCGGAUGUGAAAUCUUCUGGCUCAACCAGAAGGCGCCAUUUGAUACUGGGGGACUUGAGAGCAGCAGAGGGAAAUGGAAUCUCCAGUGUAGCGGUGAAAUGCGUAGAUAUUGGAGAGAACACCAGUGGCAAAGGCGAUUUCCCAGGCUGCUUCUGACGCUGAGGCUCGAAAGCGUGGGGAGCGAAGCGGAUUAGAUACCCGCGUAGUCCACGCCCUAAACGGUGGACACUAGAUAUAGGAGGUAUCGACCCUUUCUGUGUCGAAGCUAACGCUUUAAGUGUCCCGCCUGGGGAGUACGGCCGCAAGGCUGAAACUCAAAGGAAUUGACGGGGGUCCGCACAAGCAGCGGAGCGUGUGGUUUAAUUCGAUGCUACACGAAGAACCUUACCAGGACUUGACAUGUCAGAAGUAGGAUUCCGAAAGGAGGACGACCUGUAUCCAGUCAGGAGCUGUCACAGGUGCUGCAUGGCUGUCGUCAGCUCGUGCCGUGAGGUGUUGGGUUAAGUCCCGCAACGAGCGCAACCCUUGUCCCAUGUUAAAUUCUCAUGGGAGACUGCCUUGUACAGCAAGGAGGAAGGAAAGGAUGACGUCAAGUCAGCACGGCCUUUAUGUCCUGGGCUACACACACGCUACAAUGGACGAUACAGAGGGUUGCCAAGGAGCGAUCCGGAGCUAAUCCCCGAAAAUCGUCCUCAGUUCGGAUUGCAGGCUGAAAUCGCUUGCAUGAAGUCGGAGUUGCUAGUAACCGCAGGUCAGCUAUACUGCGGUGAAUACGUUCUCGGACCU
This 850-nucleotide ribosomal RNA is filed under the name uncultured bacterium. Its description in RNAcentral is "SSU rRNA". It matches the Rfam family "Bacterial small subunit ribosomal RNA", at positions 524 to 1381 of the family's 1533-position model. The record is from RNAcentral.